UACGGAGGAUGCGAGCGUUAUCCGGAUUUAUUGGGUUUAAAGGGUGCGCAGGCGGAGGUGCAAGUCAGCGGUCAAAAUGCGGGGCCCAACCCCGGUACUGCAUUUGAAACUGUCCGGCUGGAGUGCAGGAGAGGUAAGCGGAAUUCCUAGUGUAGCGGUGAAAUGCGUAGAUAUUAGGAGGAACACCAGUGGCGAAGGCGGCUUACUGGACUGUAACUGACACUGAGGCACGAAAGCGUGGGGAGCAAACAGG
RNAcentral lists this ribosomal RNA (253 nucleotides) under uncultured Eubacteriales bacterium. RNAcentral's name for it is "uncultured Clostridiales bacterium partial 16S ribosomal RNA". It matches the Rfam family "Bacterial small subunit ribosomal RNA", at positions 524 to 776 of the family's 1533-position model. Lineage: Bacteria; Bacillati; Bacillota; Clostridia; Eubacteriales. The record is from RNAcentral.